RNAcentral lists this ribosomal RNA (469 nucleotides) under uncultured bacterium. RNAcentral's name for it is "partial 16S ribosomal RNA". It matches the Rfam family "Bacterial small subunit ribosomal RNA", at positions 28 to 507 of the family's 1533-position model. The record is from RNAcentral.
GACGAACGCUGGCGGCGUGCUUAACACAUGCAAGUCGAACGGAAAGGCCCUGCUUGCAGGGUGCUCGAGUGGCGAACGGGUGAGUAACACGUGGGUGAUCUGCCCCUUACUUUGGGAUAAGCCUGGGGAACUGGGUCUAAUACUGGAUAGGACCAUGCUGUAGGUGGUGUGGUGGAAAGAUUAGUUUCGGUAAGGGAUGAGCUCGCGGCCUGUCAGCUUGUUGGUGGGGUAAUGGCCUACCAAGGCGUCGACGGGUAGCCGGCCUGAGAGGGUGGACGGCCACAUUGGGACUGAGAUACGGCCCAGACUCCUACGGGAGGCAGCAGUGGGGAAUAUUGCACAAUGGGCGCAAGCCUGAUGCAGCGACGCCGCGUGGGGGAUGACGGCCUUCGGGUUGUAAACUCCUUUCAGCCAUGACGAAGCCCUUGUGGUGACGGUAGUGGUAGAAGAAGCACCGGCUAACUACGUG